AUUGAACGCUGGCGGCAGGCCUAACACAUGCAAGUCGAGCGGAUGAAGGGAGCUUGCUCCUGGAUUCAGCGGCGGACGGGUGAGUAAUGCCUAGGAAUCUGCCUGGUAGUGGGGGAUAACGUCCGGAAACGGGCGCUAAUACCGCAUACGUCCUGAGGGAGAAAGUGGGGGAUCUUCGGACCUCACGCUAUCAGAUGAGCCUAGGUCGGAUUAGCUAGUUGGUGGGGUAAAGGCCUACCAAGGCGACGAUCCGUAACUGGUCUGGGAGGAUGAUCAGUCACACUGGAACUGGGACACGGUCCAGACUCCUACGGGAGGCAGCAGUGGGGAAUAUUGGACAAUGGGCGAAAGCCUGAUCCAGCCAUGCCGCGUGUGUGAAGAAGGUCUUCGGAUUGUAAAGCACUUUAAGUUGGGAGGAAGGGCGGUAAGUUAAUACCUUGCUGUUUUGACGUUACCAACAGAAUAAGCACCGGCUAACUUCGUG
Molecule: ribosomal RNA, 484 nt
Filed under: uncultured bacterium
Lineage: Bacteria
Description: partial 16S ribosomal RNA
Rfam family: Bacterial small subunit ribosomal RNA
Source: RNAcentral